AAGUCUUUGGUUGCCUUGCGGAAGGAUGAUUCUUCAAGGUGGAACGAAAGAUUAGGGCAAAUGAGUGAUUAUUACAAUGAAUAUUAAGACCCUAUUUAUAGACUUCAUUCCAACCCUAAUUACCAUCAAAAUCGGCCCAACAAACUUGGCUUAAGGAAAUAGAAUCGUAACAGGGAAGGAAAGUCCAGCUGGAAACGUGCUCUGCAAGUAUUGGCGGCUCUGGCGAAAAAUCGCCUGCUCUGGAAUUGUGUUAACUCUGGCGCGUCAAGUCAGAGCUGGAAGUACGCUCUGGAAAGAUAUGUUGAUUCUGGUGAAAUAUGUUAACUCUGGAGAAAUAAGUUGACUCUGGCGCGUAAAGUCAGCUCUAAAAAAUUGUACGCUCUGGAUAAGAUCAGCUCUGGAAUGUUCAGAUCUGGAACCAUAGCUCUGUAUCGGCUCUGGAAUGUUCAAAUUUGGAACCUUAGCUCUGUCGAGUCUUAGCUCUGCUCUGACAAGUUUGUUCUGCUCUGGAGAAUUCAGCUCUGAUAGUGAAGUUCAGCUCUGGAGAUGGUCAGCUCUGGCUGGCAUUUUCGUUCUGCACUGGCGCGGGCUUUUCGGCUUUGGUGCGGGCUUUUCCGCUCUAGCGCGGGCUUUUCAGCUCUGGACACCAGUUUGCGCCUAAGGGGGGUGUAUUCGUUGUGGAAUUUGAUGGAUUUCUAUGGAUUUUAAAAGUCUGGGUGUAUUCGUUCAAGACUUUUAAAAGUCUGCAGAAAUCUGGGUGUAUUCGUUCAAGACUUUUAAAAGUCCAUAUAAAUUUGGGUGUAUUCGUUCAAGACUUUUUAAAAUCCAUACAAAUCUAGGUGUAUUCGUUAUUCCAUUGACUUAAAAUCCAAAAUGACUUUUAUGGAUUUCAUCCAAAAAAUACACACGACGAAAUCCGGCCAAGAACCACGAGAAUUGAAAUCCAUGAAGUUUUAAGCGAGAGCUGAGUUCCAGCGCCCGCGGCCAAGAAGCCAGCAAGCGCUGGAACUCAACAAUCGUUGAGAAGCCAGCGAGUACUAUGUCAUUUUCGAAUACUAUGUCAUUUUCAAGGCAUCAACUUGAUUAUUUACUAAUUUUGUGGGAUUUGGAGGCAGUACAAUGAUUGUGUGAUUAUUUUAAGAGUAAAAGGCAUCGGAAUUAUCAAUUCAUUUGAAAAUGACAUAGUAUUAGAUUUUCAUCCAAAUUUGAUGUCUUAAUGCAGGAGUUAUGGCCGCAGAAGCCUACUCCAACGGCCGAGGGGUUGCCGCGGUCGCUGGGUUUCCAGCGAGUGCUGGGACUCCGCGGGCGUUAGGUCUCUUCUAGCGAGCGCUGGUUCUCCGCGGGCGCUGGUUUCAUGAAAUUCAAUUCCAAAAUUAUCCCAUAAAGUCUUCGAAAAUCAAUGAAAAUCGGGGUGAAAUCCAACCACGAAUUCUUUGAAAGUCGUCUGGAAUUUUCGUUUCAUGAACUUUUCCGCUCUAGCGCGGGCUUUUGAGCUCUGGACACCAGUUUGUACCUAAGUACCCAAUUCUAAACCAAAAUCUCCAAAAUAUCACUCUUCCAUCUUUUAAAUCAAAAUCUCAUACAAAGCAUAAAACAAACCCAUAAACGCACCAAUUUCAGAAUAUUUAACUACAAAUAAAUGUAAACCCCCAAAUUAAGAACAAGCAUAAUCACAUAACAUACAAUCAGCUGCAUCUUCUUGCAGAAAUCAUUAAAUCAAGGUUUUACCUUUAAACCCCUCUUUCAAUCUCUUCCAUUGACUAAUCAUGAUUCAAACACCAUUAGGACUUUGCAAAUCAACUCACCCAGUCAUACAAGAAAAACAAAGAAAUCAAAUUUUACAUGUUGUAUUGACUGAACAAGAGGAAUAAAAGUAGAUUGCAGCUGUAAAAAUUCAAACUUGAGUCUUGGUUUUGGUUGUUGAAUGUUGAGUGUUGUUGCUGACUGUUUGAAGUCGAGGGGCAGAAAACGGGCCGCGCGGUGGUGGCGGCUCCUCGCUGCUGUCGCCGGUAGUCGGAGCAAAGAAGAGUGGGAAUCGGUGGUCUCGGGGCUAGGGCUCAGACGGCGCCUCCGUUCGAAAGCCGAGCGGUGGUAGCUGGCCGGUGGUGUGUAGGUGUGCCCUAUUUUCAGUCGGAGAAAGAGAGUCGGGGAGGCGGCUAUAGUCGUCGGGGAUUGAAGAGAAAUACAAGGGAGGUGUCUAGAUCUAGUGCUCGGCGGCGGCGGCGGCUCCGUCGUCGUUUCAUCCGGAGCAAAGGAAAGGGAGGCUUUGGGGCGUGCGGCGGUGGCUGGCUUCACUAGCUGCUGCUGCUGCUGCUCGCCGGAAUCGGAGAAAAGGGAUUCGGUGUUGGGGAUUUAGGGCUGAGAAGAGAGGGAAGUCGGAGGAGAUAAGACGAGAGGCGGCGGUGGCCGGCUCUUCGCCGCUGCUACCGUCGACUGUGGAGUCGAGAGAAAUGGGGGCGAGGGAGAUGACUGACCGGCGGUUCUUCGCCGGAGGAGACAAGAGGUGAGGAGCGAGGGUGUGUUCCUGGUGACUAGUGUGUGUGAGGAGGAGAGGGACAAAAGGGGUGGGGGAGACGCAGGUGUGAGUGAGAGGGAGUGAUAAGGGGUUAGGGCUUGGACCUUUGGGUAUUUUGGGCUUUGUUUUGGGCUGCGUUUUAUUUCAAUUGGGCUGCUCAUAUUUUAUUUUGGGCUGCGAAUUUUUAAAACAAAAACAUGGGCUUCCACUUAAUUGUUAGACUUCUUAAAUUGAUUUAUUAAUUUGACUCUUUAAUUUGAGUUUAAUUAAUUAUUGUUAGAAAAAAAUUUGCAUAAUAGUAUUUUUCUUAUUAUGUGCAUAUGUUAU
RNAcentral lists this long non-coding RNA (2842 nucleotides) under Salvia miltiorrhiza (redroot sage). RNAcentral's name for it is "long non-coding RNA (SMIL_LNC005391)". Lineage: Eukaryota; Viridiplantae; Streptophyta; Magnoliopsida; Lamiales; Lamiaceae. The record is from RNAcentral.